GGUUUUGCGUGGAUAGUUGCAAGAUUAGUUCUGCUCAAUGAGUUUUAAAUGGCUGCGGUAAAUUGACUGUAUAAAAGUAGCAUAAUAAAUAGUUUAUUGAUUGUGAACUGGUAUGAAUGGUUUGAUGAGAUUCUAGCUGUCUAGGUUUUAUGGGGCUUGAAUUUGUCAUUUAAGUAAGAAGACUUAAAUUUUUAGUGGGACGAGAAGACCCUAUAGAACUUUAUUUUAUAUUUGUUGGAUUUUUUAUGAUUUUGUGAAAAUUAAUUUUUAGUUGGGGUGACUGGUAGAAUUGUAUAAUUUUAUUUAGGUUUUUCAUGAGUUAAUGGUUUAAUAAGAGAGUUGAUUUUUAUUUAAAAUUUUAAGAUUAGAGUUACCUUAGGGAUAACAGCGUUAUUUAUAUGGAGAGUUCUAAUCAAUAUAGUGAGUUUGCGACCUCGAUGUUGAAUUAAGGUUAAUGUUUGGGGUAGAUUUUAAAUAAUUAGGUCUGUUCGACCUUUAAGACCUUACA
Molecule: ribosomal RNA, 508 nt
Filed under: Aposthonia ceylonica
Lineage: Eukaryota; Metazoa; Arthropoda; Insecta; Embioptera; Oligotomidae
Description: partial 16S ribosomal RNA
Source: RNAcentral